Molecule: ribosomal RNA, 847 nt
Filed under: uncultured Gammaproteobacteria bacterium
Lineage: Bacteria; Pseudomonadati; Pseudomonadota; Gammaproteobacteria
Description: bacterial SSU rRNA
Rfam family: Bacterial small subunit ribosomal RNA
Source: RNAcentral
GCUGGCGGUAUGCUUAACACAUGCAAGUCGAACGGAAACGAAACUAGCUUGCUAGUAGGCGUCGAGUGGCGGACGGGUGAGUAACGCGUAGGAAUCUGCCUGAUAGUGGGGGAUAGCCCGAAGAAAUUCGGAUUAAUACCGCAUAAUCUAUUUUUAGUAAAGUGGGGGACUUUCGAGCCUCACGCUAUCAGAUGAGCCUGCGUAAGAUUAGCUUGUUGGUAGGGUAAAAGCCUACCAAGGCAACGAUCUUUAGCUGGUCUGAGAGGAUGAUCAGCCACAUCGGGACUGAGACACGGCCCGAACUCCUACGGGAGGCAGCAGUGGGGAAUAUUGGACAAUGGGGGCAACCCUGAUCCAGCAAUACCGCGUGUGUGAAGAAGGCCUGAGGGUUGUAAAGCACUUUCAAUUGUGAAGAAAAGUUAACGGUUAAUAACCGUUAACCUUGACGUUAACUAUAGAAGAAGCACCGGCUAACUCCGUGCCAGCAGCCGCGGUAAUACGGAGGGUGCAAGCGUUAAUCGGAAUUACUGGGCGUAAAGCGUGCGUAGGCGGUUUAUUAAGUCAGAUGUGAAAGCCCCGGGCUUAACCUGGGAACUGCAUUUGAAACUGGUCAACUAGAGUAUGGCAGAGGAAAGUGGAAUUUCUGGUGUAGCGGUGAAAUGCGUAGAUAUCAGAAGGAACAUCAAUGGCGAAGGCAGCUUUCUGGACCAAUACUGACGCUGAGGUACGAAAGCGUGGGUAGCAAACAGGAUUAGAUACCCUGGUAGUCCACGCCGUAAACGAUGAUAACUAGCCGUUGGAGGGAUUUACCCUUUAGUGGCGAAGCUAACGCGUUAAGUUAUCCGCC